Molecule: long non-coding RNA, 3305 nt
Organism: Haliotis rubra (blacklip abalone)
Lineage: Eukaryota; Metazoa; Mollusca; Gastropoda; Lepetellida; Haliotidae
Exons: 2
Source: RefSeq, a predicted model, not a curated record
CGCCAAAGACCCGGGUUCGAAUCCCCACAUGGGUACAUUGUGUGAAGCCCAUUUCUGGUGUCCCCGUGCCGUGAUGUUGCUGGAAUAUUGCUAAAAGCGGCGUAAAACCAAACUCAGUCAGUCAGUGUACAGUCUCAAGCAAACCAAACUGUUGGAUUAGUUCCACGGUACACUUUGCCUUGCAGGCAUUAUUGAGAGCUGGUCUCAUACAGGGUGAGAAGUUUGAUGAUGUUGAUGAUGAUGUUGCCUCUGUCCCUGUCCUCAUGUAUGCUGUGUCUGCUUGUACAUCCUGCCAUCGUUGGUUGUCGACAUCAUGUGUGCUUUGUGAAGUCGUAUAAUGAAUAUUCCCUUCAUAACAUAAUCUUUUGUAUGAUGUAAUCAAACAGUUGCCUCCAAUACAACAUAGCACAGUGUAUAUACAUCAGCAUCCAAUUGACUUCAGCUGAACACCUCAACCUACAAUGAACACCUCAUGUUCUAGGUGAACACCUCAAGCUAGCAGUGUACACUUUAAGCUACAGUUGAACACCUCAAGCUAGCAGUGUACACUUUAAGCUACAGGUGAACACCUCAAGCUAGCAGUGUACACUUUAAGCUACAGGUGAACACCUCAAGCUAGCAGUGCACACUUUAAGCUACAGGUGAUCACCUCAAGUUAGCAGUGCACACUUUAAGCUACAGGUGAACACCAAGAGCUAUAAGUGAACACACCAAACUGUAAGUGAGCACCUCUAGCUGAAGAUAAGACAUUUAUCAAACCAGGCUGAUGUUUGUUUCUGGUCUCUAAGUGAAAGGGUAUGUGAUGUUACCUGUGUAUUUGUUAUGUUCUCCUGUAAAACUGACCAUGGUAUCAGAGCAAGUUGAGUCAAACUAACCCACGACCUUCAUCGUGAACAGACUAUGUUUUUUGUGCCACUUCCCAUGUGAAUACAUGUCCCUAUAUAUUCUGUCAAGCAUAUCAACAACAGUCAACAGUGGAUAUUAUUCUGAUGCAGUGAAAUCAGGCCAGGUGGGCCUUGUUGGUCCGACAGAAAUCCAUGUUAAGGACUUCUGUUGGAAAUGUAGGAUCCCGUGUCGACAUAGUGUGUAUCCAGAACUGAUUGUAAUUAACUGAAGCUGUUUGAAUAUUCCAUUCUGUAUGGACAAAUACCCGGCAACUCAUAUGACGAUAUGUUUUCUUACCUCCAUUAUGGUGACGACAGACAGUGUAUAUAGUUAAUGUUACGAAGUGAAGGAGAUCAAGGGAAACUCUACCUCACAGCAUGCUUUGAAGCAGGAAUUUUUCCAUAAAGCUGUCCAGGGAAUAUUGCAGUUUACAAUAUGCAAGACAGACUUGUAAUACUUCCAGUGGACAGCGAUGUGGACAACGCCAUAACAGUGGUGUAGUGGGCAGCAUCAGCCCAGAUUGUCAGUGGGUCAGUCCCAGGCCCUGUCAUACAAUAAUGCUUUAUAAGAUGGUACUGCUUGUUACCGAGCCUUGUGCUUGGCAUUACUGGGUUAAAACAACUGUUGUUUCGGAGUCCGUACACUGUGAGUGGGGUGUCCAUGCUAAACUGUGCCAUGGUAUCUCAGCCUUCUGCUAUGGUGCCAGAUAUGCACAGACACAACCAUGCAUGUACUUUGCCAUGUAAGUGCAAUACUCUUGAACAAUGAAGUGAUAUUAAACCUCACCUUGGUGAACAAUGCCUACUUGGGUGAUGCAGACUUAACAGUAUCAGCAGGUGGUGCAUGCCAAUGUCUAGUGAUCUCAUAUCUAGAGUUAUGUCCCCUAUUCAUGCCAGGAUCUUGCAACAUGGUUCCAUCCCCAACCGAAAUUGCAAACCAUGGUCGUGGGCACCAUACCCUUGUUUGUGGAUUUCACCAAUUCUCUUUGACCUCUAUCUCAUUAGGCCUCCUCUGCCAGUAACCCUGCUGAGAGGCAAAUACUCUUCAAGGCUAUAGUAUCUGUGCAGUUCAUCUGCUUCAUGGGUACAUACAAGGCUUGGGUAUUUCAGACAGAGUGCUGAAACACUAACUGUCUCUUCUAGCAUGGAGAACACUGUGACAAGCCUCAUAAGUUCACUCAGGUCAGAUCAAUGUAGCAGAUCAGAAUAUCUUGCCAAGAUUACAAACAGUGAGCUUCAAAGAACACAGGCAGCUCAUUUGGAAACAGCUGAACAGAACUAUCUGGUAAAUGCCACUUGAGGCUUGGGCAUUAUCCUUCACAUGUCGGGGCAGUGGGGUAGCCUAGUGGUUAAGGCGUUUGCUCGCCACGGCGAGGACCUGGGUUCAAAUCCUUUCUGGUGUCCCCCGCUGUGAUAUUGCUGGAAUAUGGCUAAAAAAAAAAAAAGACGGCGUAAAACUAAACUCACUCACUUUCACUCUUCACACAUGUACAUUGAGAAUGAUGAAGCCAUCAUUUACCACUGAUCCCUGAAAGCUUCAAUAUCCCUGAGUAUCCUAUACACGUGUAUUAUCAACCUAUGAAUGUAUAGAAUUUGCCAUCACACACGACCGUGACAGAUGCAGGCCUACUGUUGACAGGUCAUGUGACUGUUUCCCGGUCUCCUUCACAUGCUUUCGUGGCCAUCAUUUCAGAAUUGAGCUUUAACACUAACCGUCACAUACUUCGCUCAAUACAUGCUUGUCUAGAUAUAUUUGUUUGUUGUUGCACAUAGCAUUUACAUUCAGAUCAUUUUAAUAAUCUUUUAGGAAUUGUUUUCUUCAAUAGGAUAUUGCAUUUUUCACAAAAUUAUCUUUAUCCAACUUUGUAAAGCUUUGGAAGCAAUUUACAUGUCUUGCAUUGAAGGAAAGCCUUCACAACAGUUGUCAGACAUACACGUCUACAAUGUGGUCAUUGUUAAUUUGUAUAUAAAUCAACUUGAAACUGAAACAAGGCUUGACCAGCAUUGUAAUGGUUUUUUUCUAUAUCUGCCACAUGUUUUUUUGUUUCUUUUAGCAAAAUUAAAAUUAAAAUAAUAUUGUUUUCAUUCCUGCUCUUAUGACUCUUAUUUAAGGAAGUGCAACAUUUUUCUGCACUGAAUAUAGUUUCUGUCCAGUAAGGAUUCCUUCAGUUUGCAUUACAUUUAAUGAUCCUUAUAUGUUGAGGCCAUGUUCCCAGGUGGGGAUACUACAAAACAACAGGGCACCUGUAACUGCGUCAAGUGGAAGACACAACCAGUUGUCGCUCGAUUUGUGAAGGCUAGAACAUGAUGUCACUUCCACAUCAUUUAGUUGUUGCGUUAAAAAUAUGUUGUUAUGAAAUUUAAAUUUAUGUUGAUAUUCUACUGAAUUACAGAAUAAAGAACUGUACCUAAUAUGAAAAA